GCGCAUGUUUUCUAUCGGCAAAUGCAGUCAUCGGUUUUGCUUUCAGUGUGUGAAGCAACAUGUAGAGGUGAAGCUGCUUCACGGAAUGAUUCCGAAUUGUCCUCAUGAUAAAUGCAAGUCUGAGAUGGUGAUCGAUGCGUGUGGCAAGCUUUUGACUCCGAAAUUGGGUGAAAUGUGGAAGCAAAGGAUCAAGGAGAACGCAAUACCUGUCACCGAGAGAGUUUACUGUCCUUACCUGAAGUGUUCGGCUUUGAUGUCCAAAACCAAGAUAUCUGAAUCGGCCAAGAGCUUACAGUCUGCUUACCCUGCAUCUGGAGUCAGGAGAUGUGUCGAAUGUCGUGGCCUUUUCUGUGUGGACUGUAAAGUCCCGUGGCAUGGGAAGCUGUCAUGCGCCGAGUACAAAAAACUGCAUCCUAAUCCUCCAGCAGAUGAUGUGAAGCUAAAGUCUCUGGCGAAUAAUAAAAUGUGGCGCCAAUGUGGUAAGUGCCAGCACAUGAUUGAACUUAGUCAAGGAUGCAAUCACAUAACUUGCAGGUAUCUUCUUAACACUUUGAUCAACCUAAGAAACCUUUGGAAUCAGAUAGAUCAUCAAACUUCAAAGCAUGUGUGGUACAUUUCAUUCUUUCCUUGUUUAACCAUAUUGGUGGCAUAUUCCCUUUUGGUAUUCUCGUUAGAUGUGGGCAUGAGUUUUGCUACAACUGUGGAGGAGGAUGGAACAAAAUAACAGGGACUUGUGCUAAGCAAUGCCCGACCUGGGACGAAGCAUACAUCAUGCGUCAAGAUCCAGCUCCAGCGCGUGUGUAUGUGUUGCCUAACAACUACUUUGAUGAUUAUGAUGAGGAUGAAUAUGAUGAGGAUGAAUAUGAUGAUUAUGAAGCUGAUGAAGAUUUUGGUUACGGCUAUGGUGACUUCCCCUUUAAUUUGGAGCACCAUAUGAAUGAUGUUAAUCCUGAAGCGCCCUUUGAUCUGCCAGAUGGUAAUAUUUCCCUUCUAAAUCUCUAUAAAACCCUUGAAUCUCAUUAGUUUUUUUUUCCGUACUGAAAUCACUCUUUAAGAAGAAGAAGAAGAAGAAGAAGAAGAAGAAGAAGAAGAAGAAGAAGAUGAGGAAGUGGAAGAAGAAGAAGAAGAAGAGGAAGUGGAAGAAGAAGAAGAAGAUGAGGAAGUGGAAGAAGAAGAAGAAGAAGAAGAAGAAGAAGAAGAUGAGGAAGUGGAAGAAGAAGAAGAAGAUGAGGAAGUGGAAGAAGAUGAGGAAGUGGACGACUGCCCUUCCUUUGGAACUGAUGAAGAGUACGAUAUAGUAUAUGACUCGGACGGCUAUGAAAGCGAGGAUUACUAUUGAGGUGUAACUAUCGAGGUGUAAUUUGGAACCAAAGUUGUUCUCUUUCGCUUUAUGAUCCAUCGACUGUAAAUUUAUUGGUGGAUCAUAUGUUUUUAUGACUUGUUGCGUUUGAGUUUGGGAGAUUCAGGAGUGAGAAAUUUGUAGAAACCUUGGUUUGAAGGUAAAGCUUUGUUUUGCAUACAAAUGUCAUUGACGAAACUGUCACAUAUAACUUUUAAAUCACCGAGAAGCAAAUGUUUGAUUAAAACCCUCAUUUAUUUUUGAAUCGUUGAGAAUUAAGGAGAACGCAAUACCUGUCACAGAGAGAGUGUGGAAGCUUUUGACUCCAACUAUUUUCGAUGCAUGUGGCAAGCUUUUGACUCCGAAAUUGGGUGAAAUGUGGAAGCAGAGAAUUAAGGAGAACGCGAUACCUGUCACAGAGAGAGUGUAUUGUCCUUACGUGAGGUGUUCUGCUUUGAUGUCCAAAACCAAGAUAUCUGAAUCGGCCAAGAGCUUACAGUCUGCUUACCCUGCAUCUGGAGUCAGGAGAUGUGUGGAAUGUCGUGGCCUCUUCUGUGUGGACUGUAAAGUCCCGUGGCAUGGAAAGCUGUCAUGCACCGAGUACAAGAAACUGCAUCCUAAUCCUCCAGCAAAUGAUAUUGAUAUGAAGCUAAAAUCUCUGGCAAAUAAUAAAAUGUGGCGCCAAUGUGGCAAGUGCCAACACAUGAUCGAGCUUACUCAAGGAUGCAGGUAUCUCUCUUUAACACUUUGAUUAUCUUAUAAUCAUAUUUAUAAAAUGGUCAAGUCGAAUAGUAUACUUUUCUGUGAUGAGGAAAGGUUUGUAUACUCUGUUGUUAUAGCUUUCUGAUUCAUUGUAUGUAUUGUUAAUCUAGAAUCUUACUUAAUGGUAAUCACAUAACUCAACAAUGGAUAAAACAAUAUAUUUUUUGUUAAUUGCUACAGAUUGAACUAGGCAUCUUUCUUAUGUCAUUCAACUUGAUCUCAAUUUAAGGUUUAUCUGUCACAUUUUUAUUCAUAUUCAAAUCAACUUGUAUUUUAUUUUUAUUAUUAUAUAAUAAUUAGGACGGUUGUACUCUCUGAUUAUGAUAUUCUUCCUUAAAAAUCUAGUCUUAAAUGAUAUUCUUCCUUAAAAAUCUAGUCUUAAAUCUCUAGACUAUUUUCUAUUGAUUGUGAGCUGUCUUGUGACAUUCACAGACAUUACAAUAAAGAAGGAAACACUGUUAUUGGGUGCUCACUCUAUUCACAACAUUCAUAAACUCUUUCUCUUGUAGUAGAUUCAUAAAUUGGUUCCGCAAGAGCAUUCGUUUCAGCACCUUUCCAUUUCCAUCUCGGUGCCAUGGAAUAAAACUGCAUAUAGCAUUAAAAAAUCAAACCCUUUGAGCAUAAAACAUAUAUAUAAAUAAAGCAAAAUAUUAGCAGCCACAAGUAUUACACACUAGCAUCAUGCGGGCAUUGUCUGUAACACAUGUUUCUAACAAUUGACAUACUUGGAAGAACCCAAUUUAGAGCUGAACUGAACAAAGCCAAGAACUUUUGCGCUAGAGUCAAAGGAAAAAAUGCAGAGUCAGGAUUAUUAUCUAUUACUAGCAAUCCAAUGAGGCAUACAUAGACACACCAAUUUCAUCUCAAAUUGCAUCUUAGCGUGCCUAUACAUACUUAAUUAAAUGCACCAAAUAAACUCAAAACUUCAUGAAGAGUCACUCACAAUGUGAUUGAUUUGAACUUUGAAGUGUAAUAAAAUGAGCGGAAUCAAAGGUUAUUAAUUACCUUGAUUAUCGUAAUUUAUUCUGAUUUUCAAAAGAAAAACCAGUAAAUUCUUUUGACGAAGGUAAGGCAAGAGGCGUCUUAACGUAAACCAUUGGCAAAAUUUCCGGUUAAAGUUUCGAUUACAAUCCAAUGACGCCCGGCCCACACGUGCGUGGACUUUCCCCACGUGCGGAUUUUGAGGGUCUCCUCUCUAUAUUAAAAAAAAAAAAAUGUAGGACACGACGUAAAAGCUUAAAAAGCACUCGUCACGAAGAGAAAACAAAAAAGGGAGUGUUUUUUUGAAUCGCUGCAGCUACCAAUGGAGUUCUUGGGAGGUCGCGAUACCGAUUCCGAAUACGCUUUCCGAUUGCAGAUGGAGGAGGCCCUCGCUGCUUCCCUCGCUUCCCGAUCUCGUGCUCCACCGUCGCCUCCCGUUGUCGCUAGGAGUGGAUUCGCUGUCGUGGUGGAGGAUGAGGAGAUCGCGCGUCAAAGAAACACCGGCGGCGGAGAAGGUAACUCGAGAGGAAAAGGGAAAACCCACCACGAGACAGUCUCUGGUAUACGGAGAGACGAUCGAAACCCUAACAGUAAUGCUUCUGCGUACGUUGGUGAUGCCGUGAGGAGGGGGAGUUUCAGGGGAGACUUGAUGUACAGGCUUUACUUCAAGGGUUUGGUGAGCGAGGAGACUGGGACUGGUAAGGGGAAGGGGAAGGUGAGUGACGUGGCGGCUGGGUUUGGGGUAGCGAUUUGCGACCAGAGGGAUGCUCUGUUGUUUGAGUCCAAGGGACAGCUGGCUGGCCGUGGCGCGAAUCGUCAGGGAGCGGAGAUUCAGGCGUUGACAAUAGGGUUGACCGAAGCAUGGAAGCUGGGGAUCAAACACGUUUCUAUCUUCUGCGAUUCUUUUCCCAUCUUCCAAUUCGUAAAGUUUCCUACUUUUUCCUUUUUCUUUAUUGUUACGCUUCACUCUUACUUGCUUUUGUUGAAUGGUGUGUUCGUUUUACUUUUGUUUACUCGAUGCAUCAUGUAGAAAUAGUGAUGAGCUGAUAAGUUCAAGUUUCCCCUUUUGUUCCUGAAUCUACUGAUGUAGUUAAUGUGUGUUCGAUGAUGUGCUAAUCUGAUUGAAGAGCUGCACUGACUACUCUAUCAUUCUAUAUCGUGACCUUUUUGUAAGCCAUUGUUGUCUCUCUUUUCCUUGAAAUAUAAAGAAGUUUGUUGAGCUACCUUUGCUAGCUUAUUAGAGAGUUAGACUGUUAAGUUCUAAGCUCAUUUGCUUGUGUUUUGUGCAAUGGGUUAUGCUUUCUCUACCUAGCUUUUCAUUUUCUGUGUGUUCAUAAGAUUUUCAUUUUAUUUGAAUGCAGGUCAGGGGAAGCUGGACGCCUAAGCAAAAAAAGAUUGCCAUGCUAAUGGAUGAUUUGAAACGGAUCAGGCAACAAUUCUCGUUUACUCAAGCUGUUCUGGUGGCUGGAAACGAAGUGAAAUAUGCUUAUAAACUCGCUAGGGAAUCAAUUGUUUCGCAAGCAACCCCUCAAGACAACCCCCGCCAAGCUAAAGUAGCUGCUAGGAAAGAAGAGUGUCUUAUCUGUUUUAACGAUAUCGAUCCUGAGCGCAUGUUUUCUAUCGGCAAAUGCAGUCAUCGGUUUUGCUUUCAGUGUGUGAAGCAACAUGUAGAGGUGAAGCUGCUUCACGGAAUGAUUCCGAAUUGUCCUCAUGAUAAAUGCAAGUCUGAGAUGGUGAUCGAUGCGUGUGGCAAGCUUUUGACUCCGAAAUUGGGUGAAAUGUGGAAGCAAAGGAUCAAGGAGAACGCAAUACCUGUCACCGAGAGAGUUUACUGUCCUUACCUGAAGUGUUCGGCUUUGAUGUCCAAAACCAAGAUAUCUGAAUCGGCCAAGAGCUUACAGUCUGCUUACCCUGCAUCUGGAGUCAGGAGAUGUGUGGGAUGUCGUGGUCUCUUCUGUGUGGACUGUAAAGUCCCGUGGCAUGGGAAGC
Molecule: long non-coding RNA, 5071 nt
Filed under: Brassica rapa (field mustard)
Lineage: Eukaryota; Viridiplantae; Streptophyta; Magnoliopsida; Brassicales; Brassicaceae
Description: long non-coding RNA (BRAP_LNC007855)
Source: RNAcentral